This 2002-nucleotide ribosomal RNA is filed under the name activated sludge metagenome. Its description in RNAcentral is "bacterial LSU rRNA". It matches the Rfam family "Bacterial large subunit ribosomal RNA", at positions 3 to 1977 of the family's 2925-position model. The record is from RNAcentral.
UCAAGUAUUUAAGGGCGUACGAAGGAUGCCUUGGCACUACCAGGCGAUGAAGGACGUGGUUACCUGCGAUAAGUUUCGGCGAGCUGGAAGCAAGCUUUGACCCGGAAAUUUCCGAAUGAGAAAACUCCAUACGGCAAAACCGUAUGAUCUCCGCAAGGAGAAGCUAAACUCAGGGAAUUGAAACAUCUUAGUACCUGAAGGAAAAGAAAGUAAAAACGAUUUCGUUAGUAGCGGCGAGCGAACGCGAAACAGCCUAAACCGAUGUUAUGUCAAGCUUGAGGGCGUUGUGAUAUCGGUGUUGUAGGGCUGGCAUGGGUUCACCUCAAUGGACCUGCAAAGUUACCAAAUUGCCAUGUAGAAGAAGUGUUUGGGAAAACACGCCACAGCGGGUGAUAGCCCCGUAUUUUAAACAUGUGUGAUCUUUGAGCCAGUUCCUGAGUACCACGGAGUACGUGAAGUUCCGUGGGAAUCCGCGAAGACCAUUUCGCAAGGCUAAAUACUAGGUAGUGACCGAUAGUGAACAAGUACUGUGAAGGAAAGGUGAAAAGCACCGCGGGAGCGGAGUGAAAUAGAACCUGAAAUCGUACGCUUACAAGGUAUGGAAGGGCGUAAGCCUGACCGUGUGCCUUUUGUAGCAUGAGCCUGCGAGUUACUGUAUGCAGCAAGGUUAAGGGAUUGAAGUCCCGGAGCCGAAGCGAAAGCGAGUCUGAAUAGGGCGUUUUGAGUUGCAUGCUUUAGACCCGAAGUUGAGUGAUCUAGCCUUGGUCAGGAUGAAGUGGCGGUAACACGCCAUGGAGGUCCGAACUCGUGAAUGUUGAAAAAUUCUGAGAUGAACUGAGGCUGGGGGUGAAAGGCCAAUCAAACUCAGCGAUAGCUGGUUCUCCUCGAAAUGUAUUUAGGUACAGGGUCUGAUGUUUAGUUGUGGGGGUAGAGCGCUGUUUGGGCUAGGGGCCUUACCCGGUUACCAAACCCAGGCAAACUACGAAUACCAUAACUUUAGAGUCAGGCACUGAGUCAGUGGGUGAUAACGUUCAUUGGCGAGAGGGAGACAACCCGGAUCGACAGCUAAGGUUCCUAAAUCUACACUAAGUGAUAAAGGAUGUUCAAUCGCACAGACAAUUAGGAGGUUGGCUUAGAAGCAGCCACCCUUUAAAGAGUGCGUAAUAGCUCACUAAUCGAGCGAUUGGGCGCCGAAAAUGUACGGAUCUAAGUGUAGUACCGAAGCUUCGGGCGCGUAGCAAUACGCGCGGUAGAGGAGCGUUCCUACAGCGGCGAAGGUAUAGCGAGAGCAGUGCUGGAGCGGUAGGAAGUGAGAAUGCAGGCAUGAGUAGCGAAAAUGACGGUUAAAUUCCGUCACAUCGUAAGCCCAAGGGUUCCGCAGCAAGGUAACUCCGCUGCGGGUUAGCCGGUUCCUAAGGUGAGGCCGAAAGGCGUAACCGAUGGUAACCUGGUUUAUAUUCCAGGGCUUAGUUCAAGGCGCGAUGGGGUGACGCAAGAAGAUAGGGAAGCAGCCUAAUGGAUGGCUGUAUAAGGUCGUAGGCGUUGAGGUGGUCAGGCAAAUCCGGCUGCUGAGCUGAGAGCUGAUAUCGAGUGGACCUUCGGGUUUCACGAAGUUUCUGAUUCUAUGCUGCCUAGAAAAACCUCUAAGUUUACUUGAACUAAACCGUACCCGAAACCGACACAGGUGGGCGAGGAGAGAAUCCUCAGAUGCGCGAGAGAAACCUCGUUAAGGAACUCGGCAAAAUGACCCCGUAACUUCGGGAGAAGGGGUGCCUCAUUAUCGUGCAAGCGAGAAGAGGCUGCAAUAAAGAGUCCGCGGCGACUGUUUACCAAAAACACAGGUCUCUGCAAACACGUAAGUGGAUGUAUAGGGGCUGAUACCUGCCCGGUGCUGGAAGGUUAACAGGAGAUGUUAGAAGCAAUUCGAAGCAUUGAAUCGAAGCCCCAGUAAACGGCGGCCGUAACUAUGACGGUCCUAAGGUAGCGAAAUUCCUUGUCGGGU